RNAcentral lists this non-coding RNA (556 nucleotides) under Klebsiella pneumoniae. Lineage: Bacteria; Pseudomonadati; Pseudomonadota; Gammaproteobacteria; Enterobacterales; Enterobacteriaceae. The record is from RNAcentral.
UUGAGAUCAUUUAUGGCAGAGCGUAAUCUCUUGCUCUGUAAACGAAAAAACCACCCUGGCAGGUGGUUUUUCGAAGGUUAGUUAAUCCUGGCAGAUUCUCUAACCGUGGUAACAGUCUUGUGCGAGACAUGUCACCAAAUCUGUCCUUCUAGUGUAGCCUCAGUCAGGCCGCCACUUCAAGAACUCUGAACACAUCUCUCGCACAAACCUGUUACCAGUGGCUGCUGCCAGUGGCGUUUUGUCGUGUCUUUCCGGGUUGGACUCAAGACGAUAGUUACCGGAUAAGGCGCAGCAGUCGGACUGAACGGGGGGUUCGUGCAUACAGUCCAGCUUGGAGCGAACUGCCUACCCGGAACUGAGUGUCAGGCGUGGAAUGAGAUAAACGCGGCCAUAACAGCGGAAUGACACCGGUAAACCGAAAGGCAGGAACAGGAGAGCGCACGAGGGAGCCACCAGGGGGAAACGCCUGGUAUCUUUAAGUCCUGUCGGGUUUCGCCACCACUGAUUUGAGCGUCAGAUUUCGUGAUGCUUGUCAGGGGGGCGGAGCCUAUGGAAA